Molecule: long non-coding RNA, 717 nt
Organism: Mauremys mutica (yellowpond turtle)
Lineage: Eukaryota; Metazoa; Chordata; Testudines; Geoemydidae
Exons: 3
Source: RefSeq, a predicted model, not a curated record
UUAGUCCUUGUCCCAGAAGUGUCCUUUCUCCUGCCUUUGCUAUACAGGUCUGUCACAUCUUACGCUGGGGUUCCGUUCCGCAGCCAGCGCGUAAAGUGAAAAUCGCAUAUAGUCAAAAUUACAUUGAGUGUAUGGUGGGCGGAAUCACCCGCACUACAGUGACUACUGUUCAUAUGGAAUUGCACAUGCUCCUCUCCUCAGAGGGCAAGGAAGGUCAGAGCCUCCUGACAGGACCACGCAGAAGCACUGGGCAUGGCUACUAUCAUGGUCUGCAGAGGCUGGAAGGAGGCAGUGUGCCACGAGAGAAGCAGAACCUUUGAUCACAGCAGAGCCCUGAUUAGAGGACAGGGUUUCUCUGAUUAGGGGCCUAUAAAGGCAGUGAAGCAGCAAGGGAACAUCUGAAAACAGGGGAGUUCAAGUGUGAGUUUGUAAGGGGAGUUUGGGAGAGAAGUGUGUGGUGUAUGGUUUUUUUGUUUGUUUGUUUUUUUGUUUUGUUGUUGUUGACAGGAGGUGAGGCAAGAAGGCUUAUGAGUGAUAUAGAGGAAGUAGUGGUAGUGACCCAAAGAAUGGAAGAGACAAUGAAGAUGUACGUUAUCCUAGAGCAGGUACCCAAAAAGAGCUUUUUGUAUGAAAUGCUACCUGAUAGAGCUGAUGGAAGAGAGUAUCCAGGCUUUGGAGAUGCAGGUAGAAACUAUGGUUGAGUUUUGAAGGGGAUUC